CAGUUGCGUAUUCGAAUGUUGUCGAAGCAUAGUAGUAUCCUGAGUAGCGCGGAGCACGAGGAAUUCUGCGUGAAUCUGCCGGGACCAUCCGGUAAGGCUAAAUACUCCCGAGAGACCGAUAGCGAACCAGUACCGUGAGGGAAAGGUGAAAAGCACUUCGAACAGAAGAGUGAAAUAGUUCCUGAAACCGUGCGCCUACAAGCGGUCGGAGCUCGUUAAUGAGUGACGGCGUGCCUUUUGCAUAAUGAACCUACGAGUUGCCUUUGCCGGCAAGGUUAAGUGUGACGACACACGUAUCCGAAGCGAAAGCGAGUCUGAACAGGGCGUAUAGUCGGCAGUGGCAGACGCGAAACCAAGUGAUCUACCCUUGGCCAGGUUGAAGGCUGGGUAACACCAGCUGGAGGACCGCACCAAUAAGCGUUGAAAAGCUUCUGGAUGAGCUGAGGGUAGGGGUGAAAGGCUAAUCAAACUUGGAGAUAGCUCGUACUCCCCGAAAUGCAUUUAGGUGCAGCCUUGCGGGUUACUGAUGUGAGGUAGAGCGACUGAUAAGAUGCGAGGGCUUCACCGCCUAUCAAGUCUUGACAAACUCCGAAUGCGCAUCAGUUCUACCGCAGGAGUGAGGGCAUGGGUGCUAAGGUCCGUGCCCGAGAGGAGAAGAAUCCGGACCACCUGCUAAGGUCCCGAAAUGACAGCUAAGUUAAACUAACGAAGUCUGACUGCUAAGACAGCUAGGAUGUUGGCUUGGAAGCAGCCAUUCAUUUAAAGAGUGCGUAACAGCUCACUAGUCGAGGAGUCGGGCGUGGAUAAUAAUCGGGUAUCAAGUUGUCUACCGAAGCAGUGGGAUCAUUUAUAUGAUCGGUAGGGGAGCAUUCCAGUCAGCGUCGAAGGCGUACCGUGAGGUAUUCUGGAGCGUCUGGAAAAGCAAAUGUAGGUAUAAGUAACGAUAAAGGGGGCGGGAAACCCCCUCGCCGAAAGACUAAGGUUUCCUGAUCAACGCUAAUCGGAUCAGGGUCAGUCGGGUCCUAAGGCUCAGCCGAACGGCGAUGCCGAUGGCAGAAACGGUUAAUAUUCCGUUACUACCUUCAGGAGUGACGUGGAGACGCAGUAGUGACAGUGCCGCCAUCUGACGGAAUAGAUGGUUGAAGGGUGUAGGAGUCGAUCAUGGCAGGCAAAUCCACCAUGAGAUCCGAACCUGAUAGUAUGCCGCGUCCUUCGGGACAAGGCAAUAGUGCGCGUAAGCAUGCUGCCGAGAAAAUCCGCUAAACUUAAUCCUGGAGGUACCCGUACCGCAAACGGACACACGUAGUCGGGAUGAAUAUUCUAAGGCGCUUGAGUGAUUCACGGUUAAGGAACUAGGCAAACUGACCCUGUAACUUCGGGAUAAAGGGUCCCUACCCUUUUAUGGGAGGGCGCAGAGAAUCGGUCCAGGCAACUGUUUAACAAAAACACAGGGCUGUGCCAAAUCGAAAGAUCCAGUAUACAGCCUGACACCUGCCCGGUGCUGGAAGGUUAAGAGGAGAUGUCAUCGAUAAGAGAAGCGUUGAAUUGAAGCCCCAGUAAACGGCGGCCGUAACUAUAACGGUCCUAAGGUAGCGAAAUUCCUUGUCGGGUAAGUUC
Molecule: ribosomal RNA, 1617 nt
Filed under: human gut metagenome
Description: bacterial LSU rRNA
Rfam family: Bacterial large subunit ribosomal RNA
Source: RNAcentral